CAGUAGCCGCGGUAAUACGAAGGGUGCAAGCGUUACUCGGAAUUACUGGGCGUAAAGCGUGCGUAGGUGGUGGUUUAAGUCCGUUGUGAAAGCCCUGGGCUCAACCUGGGAAUUGCAGUGGAUACUGGGUCACUAGAGUGUGGUAGAGGAUAGUGGAAUUUCCGGUGUAGCAGUGAAAUGCGUAGAGAUCGGAAGGAACAUCUGUGGCGAAGGCGACUAUCUGGGCCAACACUGACACUGAGGCACGAAAGUGUGGGGAGCAAACAGGAUUAGAUACCCCUGUAGUCCCUGUCUCUUAUAC
RNAcentral lists this ribosomal RNA (301 nucleotides) under uncultured bacterium. RNAcentral's name for it is "partial 16S ribosomal RNA". It matches the Rfam family "Bacterial small subunit ribosomal RNA", at positions 509 to 807 of the family's 1533-position model. The record is from RNAcentral.